GACGAACCGUCCAAACGUUAUUCGGAAUUACUGGGCUUAAAGGGUUCGUAGGCGGCCGCGUAAGUGAGGUGUGAAAUCCCUCGGCUCAACCGAGGAACUGCGCUUCAUACUGCACGGCUUGAGGGAGACAGAGGUAAGCGGAACUGAUGGUGGAGCGGUGAAAUGCGUUGAUAUCAUCAGGAACACCGGUGGCGAAAGCGGCUUACUGGGUCUCUUCUGACGCUGAGGAACGAAAGCUAGGGGAGCGAACGGG
This 253-nucleotide ribosomal RNA is filed under the name uncultured bacterium. RNAcentral's name for it is "partial 16S ribosomal RNA". It matches the Rfam family "Bacterial small subunit ribosomal RNA", at positions 524 to 776 of the family's 1533-position model. The record is from RNAcentral.